This 98-nucleotide transfer RNA is filed under the name Cordylochernes scorpioides. RNAcentral's name for it is "tRNA-Glu". The record is from RNAcentral. Lineage: Eukaryota; Metazoa; Arthropoda; Arachnida; Pseudoscorpiones; Chernetidae.
UGUCCAAUGCGGGAAUCGAACCCGGGUCCUAGUAGUCGAAAACCAAACGGUUUAACUAGCCUUCCACCGACCCCCCAUGCUAUCAGCCAGUGUUGGGC